Molecule: ribosomal RNA, 1369 nt
Filed under: uncultured bacterium
Lineage: Bacteria
Description: partial 16S ribosomal RNA
Rfam family: Bacterial small subunit ribosomal RNA
Source: RNAcentral
GAUGAACGCUGGCGGCGUGCCUAAUACAUGCAAGUCGAGCGAACGGACGAGAAGCUUGCUUCUCUGAUGUUAGCGGCGGACGGGUGAGUAACACGUGGAUAACCUACCUAUAAGACUGGGAUAACUUCGGGAAACCGGAGCUAAUACCGGAUAAUAUUUUGAACCGCAUGGUUCAAAAGUGAAAGACGGUCUUGCUGUCACUUAUAGAUGGAUCCGCGCUGCAUUAGCUAGUUGGUAAGGUAACGGCUUACCAAGGCAACGAUGCAUAGCCGACCUGAGAGGGUGAUCGGCCACACUGGAACUGAGACACGGUCCAGACUCCUACGGGAGGCAGCAGUAGGGAAUCUUCCGCAAUGGGCGAAAGCCUGACGGAGCAACGCCGCGUGAGUGAUGAAGGUCUUCGGAUCGUAAAACUCUGUUAUUAGGGAAGAACAUAUGUGUAAGUAACUGUGCACAUCUUGACGGUACCUAAUCAGAAAGCCACGGCUAACUACGUGCCAGCAGCCGCGGUAAUACGUAGGUGGCAAGCGUUAUCCGGAAUUAUUGGGCGUAAAGCGCGCGUAGGCGGUUUUUUAAGUCUGAUGUGAAAGCCCACGGCUCAACCAUAGUACGCUUUGGAAACUGUUUAACUUGAGUGCAAGAGGGGAGAGUGGAAUUCCAUGUGUAGCGGUGAAAUGCGUAGAUAUAUGGAGGAACACCGGUGGCGAAAGCGGCUCUCUGGCUUGUAACUGACGCUGAGGCUCGAAAGCGUGGGGAGCAAACAGGAUUAGAUACCCUGGUAGUCCACGCCGUAAACGAUGAGUGCUAGGUGUUAGACCCUUUCCGGGGUUUAGUGCCGUAGCUAACGCAUUAAACACUCCGCCUGGGGAGUACGACCGCAAGGUUGAAACUCAAAGGAAUUGACGGGGGCCCGCACAAGCGGUGGAGCAUGUGGUUUAAUUCGAAGCAACGCGAAGAACCUUACCAGGUCUUGACAUCCCUCUGACCGCUCUAGAGAUAGAGUUUUCCUUCGGGACAGAGGUGACAGGUGGUGCAUGGUUGUCGUCAGCUCGUGUCGUGAGAUGUUGGGUUAAGUCCCGCAACGAGCGCAACCCCUAUUGUUAGUUGCCAUCAUUUAGUUGGGCACUCUAGCGAGACCGCCGGUAAUAAACCGGAGGAAGGUGGGGAUGACGUCAAAUCAUCAUGCCCCUUAUGACCUGGGCUACACACGUGCUACAAUGGCUGGUACAACGAGUCGCAAGCCGGUGACGGCAAGCUAAUCUCUUANAGCCAGUCUCAGUUCGGAUUGUAGGCUGCAACUCGCCUACAUGAAGUCGGAAUCGCUAGUAAUCGCGGAUCAGCACGCCGCGGUGAAUACGUUCCCGGGCCU